Non-coding RNA from Callorhinchus milii (elephant shark), 73 nucleotides. Lineage: Eukaryota; Metazoa; Chordata; Chondrichthyes; Chimaeriformes; Callorhinchidae. The record is from the annotation of a RefSeq genome assembly.
AGUCCUGUAGCUCAGUGGUAAGAGCACUCACCUUGAAAGUGAGAGAACCUGGGUUCGAUUCCCGGUAGGGUGA